This 253-nucleotide ribosomal RNA is filed under the name uncultured bacterium. Its description in RNAcentral is "partial 16S ribosomal RNA". It matches the Rfam family "Bacterial small subunit ribosomal RNA", at positions 524 to 776 of the family's 1533-position model. The record is from RNAcentral.
UACGGAGGAUCCGAGCGUUAUCCGGAUUUAUUGGGUUUAAAGGGUGCGUAGGCGGCCUUGUAAGUCAGGGGUGAAAGACGGCAGCUCAACUGUCGCAGUGCCUUUGAUACUGCAGGGCUUGAAUGUACUUGAAGUGGGCGGAAUGUGACAAGUAGCGGUGAAAUGCAUAGAUAUGUCACAGAACACCGAUUGCGAAGGCAGCUCACUAAAGUAAGAUUGACGCUGAGGCACGAAAGCGUGGGGAUCAAACAGG